Molecule: long non-coding RNA, 161 nt
Filed under: Pongo abelii (Sumatran orangutan)
Lineage: Eukaryota; Metazoa; Chordata; Mammalia; Primates; Hominidae
Description: lincRNA
Source: RNAcentral
GAAAUGACGAGUCUGAAUCCUGUUGGAGUGAUUUGUUUCUUCAGACUUUGUAUCUUAAAUGAAAUCUUCUCCCUUAGAGGCCAUAUAAACUGAUGGUACAAUCUGCAACUCUAAGGCAAAUUCAUAGGUUAUACUUUUUCUUCUUCAUACUUGACAUUUGA